Molecule: ribosomal RNA, 520 nt
Filed under: uncultured Glomus
Lineage: Eukaryota; Fungi; Glomeromycota; Glomeromycetes; Glomerales; Glomeraceae
Description: SSU rRNA
Rfam family: Eukaryotic small subunit ribosomal RNA
Source: RNAcentral
AGCAGCCGCGGUAAUUCCAGCCCCAAUAGCGUAUAUUAAAGUUGUUGCAGUUAAAAAGCUCGUAGUUGAAUUUCGGGGUCAGCAAGUUGGUCGUGCCACCGGUAUGUACUGGCUUUGCUGAUUCCUCCUUCUUGUAGAACCGUAAUGCCAUUAAGUUGGUGUUGCGGGAAAACAGGACUGUUACUUUGAAAAAAUUAGAGUGUUUAAAGCAGGCUAACGCUUGAAUACAUUAGCAUGGAAUAAUAAAAUAGGACAACGAUCCUAUUUUGUUGGUUUCUAGGAUUGACGUAAUGAUUAAUAGGGAUAGUUGGGGGCAUUAGUAUUCAAUUGUCAGAGGUGAAAUUCUUGGAUUUAUUGAAGACUGACUACUGCGAAAGCAUUUGCCAAGGAUGUUUUCAUUAAUCAAGAACGAAAGUUAGGGGAUCGAAGACGAUCAGAUACCGUCGUAGUCUUAACCAUAAACUAUGCCGACUAGGGAUCGGAUGAUGUUAAUUUUAUAAUGACUCAUUCGGCGCCUUAC